This 1023-nucleotide long non-coding RNA is filed under the name Sarcophilus harrisii (Tasmanian devil). RNAcentral describes it as "lncRNA (ENSSHAG00000021639.1)". The record is from RNAcentral. Lineage: Eukaryota; Metazoa; Chordata; Mammalia; Dasyuromorphia; Dasyuridae.
AGGAGGAGGCAGGGGCUGGGGGACCAGGCUUGGGUACCUUCAGGAACAGGGUAUCUGGAUCCCCAGGGGCCAGAGGGAAGACCAGGCUUCAGGAAUGAAGGGGUUACAGUUACCCAAGUGUCACCUGAGCUGGGCGUCAAGUUUCCUGGGUGCUGCCUCCGCCCCGGUUGGGGGAGGGGAAGGGGACGGCUGGGCCUCCCUGAGGAGACGCCCCCAGUCCUGGGUGAGAAGGGGCCUUUCCUGGGACAGGAAGCGGGAAUAAAUGGGAAGCUCGUCCAGGCGGGAGGUGGGGGCCCAGCAGAAUGCGGCGCCCCGAGGCGCCCCAGGCCGGCGCCGGACUCCCGCCAUUCCCCUGCCCCUUCGCCCCCCCCGUCAGGCCCCUCCUCGACGCCCGGAACCUUCCUGCCCCCAGCAGCAGAUGCCUGGACCUUGGCCCCUGCUGGGAGCGGCUGCGGGCCCGGCCUGACUCGGCCGCUGCAGGUGUUUGAGGACCCUGCCUGGAUCCAGGAUUCAGAUUCAGACACUGACUCAGAAGGGCCCCGGGCUGCCCCAGGGGGUCUGGGCCCAAGGGUUGGGAUUGGGGGUGAGAGGAGUGGUCUCCCGCUGGAAGGUCCCGUAGCUGAGCUGGAAUGGGACCCCACGGGGGAUGUGGGGUGGCUGGGUACCUUCAGGAGCAGGAGAGGCUGGACACCGGGCUCCCCCUGUGAAGUGUGCGGACACAUGGAGCCCCUGGGGGCGUGGUCCCUCCAGCCGUGGGGCGCCCCCCGGGCUGUGGCCCCCCCGGACAGGAAGCAGCCCAGCCCCCGGGAUGUGACCGUCCAGAUCCACAAGGAGGGGGAAGAGCCAGCCGGGGGUGCUCAGCCCCCCCGCGCCCGCCGCCCCCUCCUCUUUGUGCUGCUCCUGCUGCUCCUUGGGGUGGCGUGCCUCCUGCCGCCCCCCAGGGGGCCUCACUGCCCCCCUCCACGGCUCCCCGGGUCCCUGCACCUGGUCCUCAGCUAUGUCAACGGCCCGCCCCCAACCUGA